UACGGGGGGUGCGAGCGUUGUCCGGAAUCACUGGGCGUAAAGGGCGCGUAGGUGGCCUGAUAAGGGUGUGGUGAAAGUCCGGGGCUCAACCCCGGAUCUGCCGUGCCGACUGUUAGGCUGGAGUACUGUAGGGGCAGGCGGAAUUCCGGGUGUAGCGGUGGAAUGCGUAGAGAUCCGGAGGAAGACCGGUGGCGAAGGCGGCCUGCUGGGCAGUUACUGACACUGAGGCGCGACAGCGUGGGGAGCAAACAGG
RNAcentral lists this ribosomal RNA (253 nucleotides) under uncultured bacterium. RNAcentral describes it as "partial 16S ribosomal RNA". It matches the Rfam family "Bacterial small subunit ribosomal RNA", at positions 524 to 776 of the family's 1533-position model. The record is from RNAcentral.